UACAGAGGGUGCGAGCGUUAAUCGGAAUUACUGGGCGUAAAGCGCACGUAGGCGGCUUGGUAUGUCGGGUGUGAAAUCCCCGGGCUUAACCUGGGAACUGCGCUUGUUACUGGCAAGCUGGAGUGUGGCAGAGGGGGGUGGAAUUCCACGUGUAGCAGUGAAAUGCGUAGAGAUGUGGAGGAACACCGAUGGCGAAGGCAGCCCCCUGGGCUAACACUGACGCUCAUGCACGAAAGCGUGGGGAGCAAACAGG
RNAcentral lists this ribosomal RNA (253 nucleotides) under uncultured bacterium. RNAcentral's name for it is "partial 16S ribosomal RNA". It matches the Rfam family "Bacterial small subunit ribosomal RNA", at positions 524 to 776 of the family's 1533-position model. The record is from RNAcentral.